UCGUAGUGUCCAUAUCUAGUUCUGAAUGCAGUCUUCUCGAUAUCUUGCUCUCUUACUUUCAGCUGAUGAUAUCCUGACCUAAGAUCGAUCUUCGAGAAAUAGCUCGAACCUUGCAAUUGAUCAAACAGGUCAUCAAUCCUCGGCAACGGAUAUCUAUUCUUUAUUGUUGCCUUGUUCAGCUCUCUGUAAUCGAUGCACAUUCUCAUACUUCCAUCUUUCUUCUUUACAAAUAACACCGGAGCUCCCCAGGGCGAUGAACUAGGUCUAAUGAAACCUUUGUCCAAUAACUCCUGAAGUUGCAUCAUCAGCUCCUUCAUCUCCGUCGGUGCUAAUCGAUAAGGUGCUUUUGCUAUUGGCGUGGUUCCUGGUAACAAGUCUAUUCUGAACUCCACUUGUCUAUCAGGUGGUAAUCCAGGAAGAUCCUCGGGAAAUACUUCCGGAUAAUCACACACCACUGGAAUGCUCUGCAUCACCUUCUUUUCUUUCUUAGCAUCAAUCACGAAUGCUAAAUAUGAUGUACAUCCCUUGGUCAAACACUUUCUGGCUUUCAUUAGAGAAAUGAUUCCAGAAUUCACUCUGCGUUUGUCCCCAUACACCAUAAACGAAUCUUUCCCAGGCGGGUUUACUUUAACUAUCUUCUUCUUGCACAAAAUUUCGGCAUCAUUGGCGCUAAGCCAAUCCAUUCCCAAGACGAUGUCGAAACCAUUUAGUUCGAUAGGCAAUAAUUCCUCGAGAAACUUAUUCCCAUUAAGGUCGAUCAAGACGUUUUUCAUACGAUGGCUAACAGGUACAAACUUGCCACUAGCUACUUCGACUAAUAAAGCAUUAUCUAGUCUAUCAACAGGCAAAGCUAGCUUUCUACCAAACUCAUGCGAAAUAAAGGAGUAGUUGGCUCCAGAAUCAAACAAUAUAUGAGCAGGUAAUUCGUUUACGAGAAAGGUACCUGAAGCGACAUCAGCUUCAUCUUUCGCAGCCUCAAGUGUCAUCUGGAAGGCUCUCGCCUUCGGCUUUGGUGGAAUGUUGGGCCUAGCUGCCUCCUUCUUCUUCGGACAGUCUUUCAAAAUAUGCCCCUCUUCAUUACACCCAAAACACAUCCUUUUGUUGUUCGGACAUUCAUUGGCAAAAUGUCCAACCUUUCCACACUUGUAGCAGGUCACAUCCUCGCUACAUUUCCCAAAGUGCUUUUUCUUACACUUAUCACACCACUUUGCUUCGCCUCCUUUUCCUCCAAACUUUUUCGAAUCAGAUUUCGAAAAUUUGCUCUUCUUACUGGAACCAGAUGUUCCUUCAAACUUCCUUUUCUCACCAACCUCAACCUUGACGGUGGUUCUCCCCUUGAUCAUGUUCUCCACAGACUUGGCAGCCCAGAUAGCUGCCUCUAGAGUAAGUGCCUGACGUACCGGCACCUCGUACUCCCAUGGAAGUCCCUUCGCAUACCGAUCCACCUUUGUCAGCUCGUCUGGAACGAUACGCAAGGCAAACUCCAUCUUAUCGGUGAAGUUAUUGGUGUACUCAUCCACUGACAUGCUACCCUUCGUCAAUGUCAAAAACUUGUUCUCCAACUCCAACAGAUUUUGAGCCGAGCAGAACUUGCGCUUGAACUGCACCAAGAACUCUGCCCAUGACAAUUGCAGUGGCUCAUUAGGGCUUAAGGUCUUCCCUAGAGUGUUCCACCAACGAACGGCUCCACCUCGGAAUUGUCGCACGGCAUAGAUAGUCUGCAACUUGCCUCUACAGCCACAUGUCAUAAAGGCUAACUCCAUUUCGGAGAUCCAAUCCAUAACCCCAAUCGGAUCCUCCUUUCCAUUGAAGGUCGAUGGUUUACAAGUCAAAAAGUCCUUGUACUUGCAUCCCAUUCCAUCAUUCCUUCCAUCAUGGUUAUCUUGCCUAACUAUCGGUGGGUUGGCUGGACCAACAGACCCACUGAAGUUUCCACCUUCCGAGUGCCCUUCAUUCAGUUCAGGCUCUUCCACACGAAUCGACAGUUCUUCACGAUUUUGUUGAAGCAACCGUCUAGUUUCAUCCAUCUGACGAUCCAACAUCGUCUGAAUCAUCAAUUGCACACCAGCCAUGGUUAUUGGCUCAGGUGCUGCUGCUACGACAGGUAUUGGCUCAAUCACUGGUGGUUGAUUCCUGUUUUCGUCAGCAUUUCCAACUCCACUUCUUGUUCUCACCAUUUUGAUCUACACCGAAUAAGGUGAAAUUAGAUCCUCAAUCAUGAUAGAUAUUCAAAUCAUCCUUAUCACUCCGAAACGUUUACAUGCUAGUUCUAAUAUCGUAGACGUACGCUUAGAAUCCUACACACAUAAGGUUUCUAGAUCCGGUCGGCAACAGACCAUAGAUCCGAACAAAUAAUAUCAUAUAUGGCAACAUAUAACAUUUAGCACAUAAAGCAUUUUAGGCAACUUUCCUAAAAUAAACUAGUGCUCGUGUCUAAAUCACAACAGACACACAUCUCAAAACUUCACUUAGCAUUCUAAGUUUAAGUCUAGAAAUCCUACAAAUUCCUAGUUCGCUUAAACUAAUGCUCUGAUACCAACUGUGACAUCCCCAAAAUCUCGGCCAGAAAAGACCGAUUUUCAUUUAUGCUUUUAAAUAUUUUCAGAGUAAAUCCUUUUGAUUUGAAAGAGUUGCGGAAUUUGUUCCCAAAAACAAAACAUGAUAAAACAUUGUUUACCGAAGCAUUUCAUAAAAGAAAUGUAUUUUCAUUAUAAUCAAAACUCGGGGUGUCAUGUUCCGAUACAGACCAAUAAGCAUAAACGAAUACAUUACAAGUCAUAUAACAAAUAUAAACAUAUGCAGACUUGUAAACAAAACAACUUGAUGGUUCAUCCAUCUCAUGCCCUUCCGCCACUACCUGUAAUACAAUUUAAAACUGAGUGGGUCAGGCUUGGGAGCCUGGUGAGCAUAUAGGGUUUUCAACCCACAAUAAAUAUCAUAUUUAAUUUUCACCAACCAACAAUAACCCAAUUACCCAUUCCCGUUAUUCUCACUUUAAUGUCCCUAAAACAACUAACAUAAGGGACCUAGUCUAAGAAUAUUUCAUCGGGGCGACAACACAUGCUUCGGGGGUACCUCAGCAAUAUAAGUCAAAUAAGGCAACCAUGAGGGGGAUGGAGUACAGCGAAUGAACACCCAAGUUCAUUAACACCUACAGGUGGCGAACCUGCUAAUGUUUCCACAAGACUGUCUAGAAUAGCCAGUGGUCGUCAUCUAAACUCCGCUAGAUGACUCAAUCAAACAACAACGAGGCCUCUCAUCUGUUUAUUACACACCAACUGUCUACCCAUGUUCUACCCAACAUAUUAGUAGAUAAAAAUAUACAUUUGUAUACAUAGUUUAAAGAAAACCUGUAUAGCAUGCUUUAAUCAACACAUAUAUCACAUAACAGAUGAGGCACACACACACAUAACACAUAUCUCAUAAAGAAAUAAGCAGAUCUAUAAGAUAGAAGAGAGUGAAUACUCAUUCACACAUAACACAACCAAAUAUAUACACAUAGCACGUAUUUUUAUAUAAAAUACUUCGUAUUAUUGUAUUAGAAGAAAUAACUACACACUCACUUGAUCAGAAGAUGAUCGGACAGCACUACGGCUUAUAGAAGUAGUAAUCCACAGCAGAUCUGGAAGAUCUUCUCGAAAAUCGAACUUCUCGCGGGCAGAGCUUCGACUCGGGAACCGCACUUUUCGGGAUCUUCAGGAUCUCGGGACUUGCCUCGGGGCUAGAGUAUGAUACCGGGACUUCGGGGUAGCUUCGGGGGUUUUUGCACAGAGCUUCGACACGAAAACGAGAGGGAAUUGGCAAAAAUACCCGGAACCCUCGCAUCCUAUUUAUAGGAGGCUGGAGCCUCGGAGUACGCGGGGCGUACUGCGUUACGCGGGGCGUACUGCCCAAAACGUCAUUGCUUACGUAUCCGAAGUGCUCGAGUGCGAGUGUCGACAUCCCUCGGAGUACGCGGGGCGUACUCGAGUACGCGGGGCGUACCUCGGAUCAGAUCGGUGACUCCUUCGGAUAAUGCUUCCGAAUUUUGAAUUAAAAAUAAAUACAAAAUGAUUAAUAAACUUCGGAAAUUCAUAACUUCUUCAUACGAACUCCGUUUUCGACGUUCUUUAUAUCCACGCGAAGGUGAGACCACGCUCUACGACUUUCGUUUAGACUCCGUCGGCUAAUUUUGACUUUAUUUUUAUUAAUUAUUUUUAAUAGGCCGGGACAGAAACUUUCGUUAUAAAUUCAUAACUUCUUCGUUUGACGUCCGUUCUCGCCUAACUUUUUAUCGUUUCAAUACCAACAAUGAGAUCUUCGAUUCUCAUUUAGAUUGCUUCGGCUAACAACCGCUCGAUCUCAAAUCGAGUAAAACAGGCUGUAUAUCGCUAAGCCGGAACUUCGAUAAAUCAUAACUUCCUCAUACGAAGUCAGAUUUGGGCGUUCUAUAUAUAUUCGGAAACCUCGUUUCAACUACUACAACAUUAACCAAAGAUAUUAAGUUUAUUUUACACUUAAAUUUUGACGCUUAUUUUUAUUCUUAAUUAAUCAAACCACAUAAUUAAGCAAUUAAGCACAAAACACAUAAUACUCAAAUAAUACAAUCUUAUUAUUUCAAAACGGGUUACAAAGGUUAACCUAGACUAUUACAUUGCUAAAAAUGGCAAGCCCGGAAACACAGGCGUUACAAUUCUCUCCACCUUAGAAUGAUUCCGUCCCCGGAAUCACACAUCAACAAACAAAUGCGGAUAGCGACUCAACAUGUCACUCUCCGUCUCCCAGGUGAGAUUCGGCCCAUUCGUGUGUUUCCAUCGGACAAGCACUAACCCAACCAUUUUGCGUCGCAACUUCUUAGUCUUUCGGUCAACAAUUGCCUCUGGUUCUUCAAUCAACCUUUUGUUCUCAUCAAUUCUCAAUUCAGAAAUUGGAAUUAUAUCGGGAACUUCUCCCGUGAACUUCCUCAAAUAACACACAUGAAAGGUGUUGUGAAUUCCAUUCAGUUCUUCGGGUAAUUCGAGCUUGUAAGCUUGAUUCCCAAUCCUCUGAAGGACUUUAAACGGUCCAAUAAACCUUGGACUCAACUUUCCCCUUUUACCAAAUCUUAUAAGUCCCUUCCACGGCGAGACUUUAAGCAAAACCGAAUCUCCAACCUCAAAAGUCAUCGGUCUUCGCUUCUUGUCAGCAUAGCUCUUUUGACGAUCUUGAGCUGCUAACAUUCUUUCCCUAAUUAUUUUCAACUUUUCAGCAGUUUGAUGAACCAUCUCCGGUCCCAUAAACUGCUUUUCCCCAGCCUCAAGCCAACAAGACGGCGUACGACACUUCUGUCCAUACAAAGCUUGAUAAGGUGCCAUCUUAAUGCUCGAGUGAAAACUAUUAUUAUAGGAAAAUUCUACCAACGGUAAAUGUUCAUCCCAAUUACCUAGGAAUUCCAAGGUACAUGCUCUCAGCAUAUCUUCAAGUGUUUGUAUUGUUCUUUCACUCUGACCAUCAGUCUGCGGAUGGUAAGCUGUGCUUAAACAUAACUUGGUACCCAUUUCCUCUUGUAGACUUUUCCAAAACCUUGAGGUGAAACGGCUAUCACGAUCCGAUACAAUCGUUAACGGAACACCGUGAAGCCUCACAAUUUCCUUCACGUAAGAAUUCGCAAGCUUUUCCAUAGACCAUUUCUCCCUGGCCGCUAUGAAAUGCGCACUCUUAGUGAAUCGAUCAACGACCACCCAAAUCAUGUCGUGACCAUUCUUUGUUCUGGGCAGUUUAGUGACAAAAUCCAUAGCAAUGUCUUCCCACUUACCCAUAGGCACAGGCAAUGGUUCUAAACUCCCGUAAGGUUUCUGAUGUUGUGUCUUGACUCUCGCACAAGUCACACACUCGGCCACAUACUUUGCAACAUCAAGCUUCAUCGUCGGCCACCAGUAGUAGGGUUUCAGGUCCCUAUACAUUUUAGUGCUACCCGGAUGAAUUGAGUACAUGGUUUUGUGAGCUUCUUCCAUCAGAAGAUCCCUAAUUCCUCCUGACUUAGGUACCCAAAUACGAUCUUGGAAUACCUUCAGUCCAUGACCGUUAGUACCAAACACCAACGUUUUACCCAAACGUUCCUCCUUUCGGUCAUUUUUCUCAGAAGCUUCCUCUUGAGCUUUCUUUAUACUUUCCACAAUAGUCGAGACAACUUCAAUUCUCAACGCUCUUGGCCUCUUCCUUUCAAGAUUGACUUUCCGACUGAGAGCAUCAGCAACAACAUUAGCUUUACCGGGGUGGUAAAGUAUCUCGCAGUCGUAGUCUUUAAGUAAUUCUAGCCAGCGUCGUUGCCUCAUAUUCAAUUCUUUCUGAUUAAAGAGGUAUUGGAGACUCUUAUGAUCAGUGAAAAGUUUGCACUUCGUGCCAUAGAGGUAAUGCCUCCAUAUUUUCAGAGCGAAAACUACCGCUGCCAACUCCAAAUCAUGAGUCGGGUAAUUCUUUUCAUGCUCUUUCAGCUGUCGAGACGCAUAUGCUAUCACCUUUUCUCUUUGGGUCAAAACACAACCCAAUCCAACACCAGACGCAUCGCUAUAAACAGCGAAGUCUUCAACUCCAUCGGGUAGAGAAAGUAUCGGUGCCUCGCAUAGCUUCUUCUUUAGCUUCUCGAAUGCUUCUUUAUGCUUAUCACUCCAAGCAUAAGUAGCUCCUUUGUGGGUCAAAGCUGUUAAUGGAGUAGCAAUCGAAGAAAAGCCUUGGAUAAACCUUCGGUAAUAUCCGGCUAAUCCUAAAAAGCUUCGAAUCUCCGUGGGACUUUUCGGUUGUUCCCACUUCGUCACAGCUUCGAUCUUCGCUGGAUCAACCAUUAUCCCUUCUUGGUUGACCACGUGACCCAAGAAUUGGACUUCACGAAUCCAAAAAUCACAUUUGGAGAACUUUGCAUACAGCUUCUCCUUCUUCAAGACUUCUAACACUUCUCGCAAGUGUCUGCCAUGCUCCUCCUGGCUUUUCGAGUAAAUCAGAAUGUCGUCUAUGAACACUAUCACGGAUUUAUCAAGGAAAGGAUUACAAACCCUAUUCAUCAAAUCCAUGAAUGCUGCCGGAGCAUUGGUUAGUCCAAACGACAUAACCAAGAACUCGUAGUGUCCAUAUCUAGUUCUGAAUGCAGUCUUCUCGAUAUCUUGCUCUCUUACUUUUAGCUGAUGAUAUCCUGACCUUAGAUCGAUCUUCGAGAAAUAGCUCGAACCUUGCAAUUGAUCAAAUAGGUCAUCAAUCCUCGGCAACGGAUAUCUAUUCUUUAUUGUUGCCUUGUUCAGCUCUCUGUAAUCAAUGCACAUUCUCAUACUUCCAUCUUUCUUCUUCACAAAUAACACCGGAGCUCCCCAGGGCGAUGAACUAGGUCUAAUGAAACCUUUGUCCAAUAACUCCUGAAGUUGCAUCAUCAGCUCCUUCAUCUCCGUCGGUGCUAAUCGAUAAGGUGCUUUUGCUAUUGGCGUGGUCCCUGGUAACAAGUCUAUUCUGAACUCUACUUGUCUAUCAGGUGGUAAUCCAGGAAGAUCUUCGGGAAAUACUUCCGGAUAAUCACACACCACUGGUAUACUCUGUAUCACCUUCUUUUCCUUCUUAGCAUCGAUCACGAAUGCUAAAUAUGAUGUACAUCCCUUGGUCAAACACUUCCUGGCUUUCAUUAGGGAAAUGAUUCUAGAAUUUACUCGCCGUUUGUCCCCGUACACCAUAAAUGAAUCCUUCCCAGGUGGGUUUACUUUUACUAUCU
RNAcentral lists this long non-coding RNA (7708 nucleotides) under Lactuca sativa (garden lettuce). RNAcentral describes it as "long non-coding RNA (LSAT_LNC008890)". Lineage: Eukaryota; Viridiplantae; Streptophyta; Magnoliopsida; Asterales; Asteraceae. The record is from RNAcentral.